AAUUGUUCGCAAUGGGCGAAAGCCUGACGACGCAACGCCGCGUGGAGGACGAAGAUCUUCGGGUCGUAAACUCCUUUCGAUCGGGAAGAAUGGCUUCCGGGUUAAUAGCCCGGAGGAAUGACGGUACCGAGAGAAGAAGCCCCGGCUAACUCUGUGCCAGCAGCCGCGGUAAUACAGAGGUGGCAAGCGUUGUUCGGAAUUACUGGGCGUAAAGGGCGCGUAGGCGGCCUUCUAAGUCGGACGUGAAAGCCCCAGGCUUAACCUGGGAACUGCGUCCGAUACUGGGAGGCUUGGAUUCGGGAGAGGGAUGUGGAAUUCCAGGUGUAGCGGUGAAAUGCGUAGAUAUCUGGAGGAACACCGGUGGCGAAGGCGGCAUCCUGGACCGAGAUCGACGCUGAGGCGCGAAAGCUAGGGGAGCAAAC
RNAcentral lists this ribosomal RNA (422 nucleotides) under uncultured bacterium. Its description in RNAcentral is "bacterial SSU rRNA". It matches the Rfam family "Bacterial small subunit ribosomal RNA", at positions 360 to 773 of the family's 1533-position model. The record is from RNAcentral.